GUGGGGAAUAUUGGACAAUGGGGGCAACCCUGAUCCAGCAACGCCGCGUGGAUGAAGAAGGCCUUCGGGUUGUAAAGUCCUUUCGGCAGGGACGAUGAUGACGGUACCUGCAGAAGAAGCCCCGGCUAACUUCGUGCCAGCAGCCGCGGUAAUACGAAGGGGGCUAGCGUUGUUCGGAAUUACUGGGCGUAAAGGGCGCGUAGGCGGACGCGCAAGUCAGGGGUGAAAUCCCGGGGCUCAACCUCGGAAUUGCCUUUGAGACUGCGUAUCUUGAGGACGGGAGAGGGUCGUGGAAUUCCCAGUGUAGAGGUGAAAUUCGUAGAUAUUGGGAAGAACACCGGUGGCGAAGGCGGCGACCUGGACCGUAUCUGACGCUGAGGCGCGAAAGCGUGGGGAGCAAACAGGAUUAGAAACCCGGGUAGUCC
This 425-nucleotide ribosomal RNA is filed under the name uncultured bacterium. RNAcentral's name for it is "bacterial SSU rRNA". It matches the Rfam family "Bacterial small subunit ribosomal RNA", at positions 354 to 796 of the family's 1533-position model. The record is from RNAcentral.